GUUUUUGUGGGUACGGCCUACCUACUAGUUCCUCUGUUAACCGCCACUUAGCGACAUUAGUUGGCUGAAAAACCUAGUUUAGUGUCAGCUGAAGGUGAAGGUAGAAUUCCUGUGUGUCAGUGGAGCAGCACAGUGUCAGCUGUUUACAGACUCAUUGAAGUUCAUCAUCAGAGUGAAAAUUGGUUUAGUGUAUAUCACUUACGCCUGGAGUAAAGGACAACACUUUGUGGUUGAAGAUCUUGUCUUGAUGUGGAUGACAUGCCAGUUUGGACAACAUAAGAUCUGUCUAAUGAGGAUUUGGAUGAUGCUAACACUUAAUGAAAUCUAGGAAUGUACAUUUUAUUUUAUUUUACAUAUGCUUUUCUGGAGUUAGUUUUGCAGUUGUUGGAAAGUUGGCAUUUUGCAUUUGUAGUCUGAUACCUGUUACUGAGAACAGUGGUUUGUAUGUGUUGAUUCCAGACUAUACAUUUCAGCACCUACAGCCAGUAAGUGGAUCUUUUUGACACUACAACUUAAUCACAAGUUAAUGUCAAAAAGGGUGAGCAACAAUGAUUAGAAUUUUCCUAUAUAGCAAUCUACUGUGUAGUCUAAUAAAAGAGCUCUAAGUGGGUUAAAUGCAAUUGUUUGUGUUAUUUUGAAUGCAGUAUUUGCAACAUACUGCUGUUGUACUGCAUAACAUUUUUAUUUGAAUGCACUAGAAAUAAUAACAGAAACACCAAUAUGUCCUAAAAGUGUUGUAUUUGGUUCAAAAUAAAACCUCAACUGGAAUUGUGCAUGAAAUGGCCUAGCCCAAACAGUAUCUUUGACCUUUUUCUGAAAAUGUUAGCUGUAUAAAAAAGUGUAUAUGAAGUAAAUAAUAAAUAAUAGUAAAUAAUGUUGCCACUUUGUGUCUUGCCAACAUACAAUCCAGGUAAUAUGUGACUAAAAUAUUCUUGUUAAUAACUUUAACUCUAGUCAAUGUACUUGUAUGUUUUCUGAGGACCCCUGGAAGAUUAAUUGCUUGUGCAGUAGCUAUGGAUUAUACCUAAUGAACCAAACCUUGUCAAAA
Long non-coding RNA from Esox lucius (northern pike), 1048 nucleotides. The record is from Ensembl. NCBI's taxonomy places the organism in Eukaryota, Metazoa, Chordata, Actinopteri, Esociformes, Esocidae.